GCUCUGCCAGUGGGCGGCGGAGCCAGCUACUCGAGGAGGGUUGGCGGGCGGCGGCGGAGCCAGCGGCGGCUGAGCAAUCGACGAUGGCCUCCUCCUCCAGCUGCGUACUCAGGCAGAGGCCGCCGUCGCAGGGCAGUAGCUAGGUUGCCGGUGCCCGGGGGAACCUGAUGGCGUACCAGCCGGCGAGGCAAUGCUACUGCGUGCCACCAAAAAAGCCUCCUCGCUGGAUAUCUUGGAGCCACGAAAAUCCUGAAAGAUACUACUGUUGCGUGCUAGGAAUUACUGAAGGCUGUGCGUAUUUUGCAUGACAUGAUGAUCUGUGCUCCCCAUUUCUUGGACAAGUGAUGAUUGAUUAAGGGAUGCAAUGAGGAGGAUGAAUUCUUAUGGCCAACAGGAACAGAGAAAUGGAGCAGAGGUUGUACUCAAGCAGCAAGUUCAGGAGAAGAAUGAAGAAAAUUAAGCAAUGAGGGCAAUAUGUGAAAAGAUGGAGAGAGCUGCAAUGCACAACUGUGCAUUUUAUGGCUUAAUCAUGUUAGUAGGUUGUAGAACUUCACAGAUUGUACUCGAAUUUCUGUGAUGUAUGGGCUUUGUACUCAAUUUCUAAACUUCACAGCAUGCAAGUAGUGGAAAAUUGGUAUUUGACAGCA
This is a non-coding RNA of Aegilops tauschii subsp. strangulata, 647 nucleotides long. The record is from RefSeq and is a predicted model, not a curated record. Lineage: Eukaryota; Viridiplantae; Streptophyta; Magnoliopsida; Poales; Poaceae.